AGCAGCCGCGGUAAUUCCAGCUCCAAUAGCGUAUAUUAAAGUUGUUGCAGUUAAAAAGCUCGUAGUUGAACUUCAGGCCUGGCUGGACGGUCCGCCCUCUGGGUGAGCACUGUCUGUGGUCGGGUCCUACCUUCUGGCGAAGCGGCAUGGCCUUAACCGGCCGUGGCGGGGAACCAGGACUUUUACUGUGAAAAAUUGAGUGUUCAAAGCAGGCACGCGCUUGAAUACAUUAGCAUGGAAUAAUGGAAUAGGACAAUGGUUCUAUUUGUUGGUUUCUAGGACCGUUGUAAUGAUUAAUAGGGAUAGUUGGGGGCAUUAGUAUUCAAUUGUCAGAGGUGAAAUUCUUGGAUUUAUUGAAGACUAACUACUGCGAAAGCAUUUGCCAAGGAUGUUUUCAUUAAU
Molecule: ribosomal RNA, 402 nt
Filed under: uncultured Paraglomus
Lineage: Eukaryota; Fungi; Glomeromycota; Glomeromycetes; Paraglomerales; Paraglomeraceae
Description: SSU rRNA
Rfam family: Eukaryotic small subunit ribosomal RNA
Source: RNAcentral